AACCAUUCUCACCUGCGGCUAGACCUGCGGAAGGAUCAUUACAGAGUUGCAAAACUCCCUAAACCAUUGUGAACGUUACCUAAACCGUUGCUUCGGCGGGCGGCCCGGGUCCUUCCCGGCGCCCAUCGGCCCUCGCGGGCGCCCGCCGGAGGUAAACCAAACUAUUGCAUUGUAUGGCCUCUCUGAGUCUUCUGUACUGGAUAAGUCAAAACUUUUAACAAUGGAUCUCAGAUCGGAAGA
This 240-nucleotide unclassified non-coding RNA is filed under the name soil metagenome. RNAcentral's name for it is "partial contains 5.8S ribosomal RNA, internal transcribed spacer 2, and large subunit ribosomal RNA". The record is from RNAcentral.